CCUACGGGAGGCUGCAGUGGGGGAUAUUGCACAAUGGGGGAAACCCUGAUGCAGCGACGCCGCGUGUGGGAAGACGGUCCUCUGGAUUGUAAACCACUGUCCCCAGGGACGAAGAUGAGGGUACCGGGGGAGGAAGCUCCGGCUAACUACGUGCCAGCAGCCGCGGUAAUACGUAGGGAGCGAGCGUUUUCGGGAAUUACUGGGUGUAAAGGGAGUGUGGGCGGGGAUGCAAGUUGGGUGUCAAAACUACCGGCUCAACUGGUAGUCGCACUCAAAACUGCAGCUCUUGAGUGAAGUAGAGGCAGGCGGAAUUCCUAGUGUAGCGGUGAAAUGCGUAGAUAUUAGGAGGAACACCAGUGGCGAAGGCGGCCUGCUGGGCUUUUACUGACGCUGAGGCUCGAAAGUGUGGGGAGCAAACAGGAUUAGAUACCCGUGUAGUC
RNAcentral lists this ribosomal RNA (440 nucleotides) under uncultured bacterium. Its description in RNAcentral is "partial 16S ribosomal RNA". It matches the Rfam family "Bacterial small subunit ribosomal RNA", at positions 338 to 795 of the family's 1533-position model. The record is from RNAcentral.